This is a ribosomal RNA of Rhinopithecus bieti (black snub-nosed monkey), 82 nucleotides long. Lineage: Eukaryota; Metazoa; Chordata; Mammalia; Primates; Cercopithecidae. The record is from Ensembl.
GCUAGCCAAUUUACCACCCUGAACGCGCCCGAUCUCGUCUGAUCUCGGAAGCUAAGCAGGGUUGGGUUUGGCCUGGUUAGUA